Molecule: ribosomal RNA, 440 nt
Filed under: uncultured bacterium
Lineage: Bacteria
Description: partial 16S ribosomal RNA
Rfam family: Bacterial small subunit ribosomal RNA
Source: RNAcentral
CCUACGGGUGGCAGCAGUAGGGAAUAUUGCUCAAUGGGGGAAACCCUGAAGCAGCAACGCCGCGUGGAGGAUGAAGGUUUUCGGAUUGUAAACUCCUUUUGAUAGAGAAGAGAAUGACGGUAUCUAACGAAUAAGCACCGGCUAACUCCGGGCCAGCAGCCGCGGUAAUACGGAGGGUGCAAGCGUUACGCGGAAUCCCUGGGCGUACAGAGCGCGUAGGCGGGAUAGCAAGUCAGAUGUGAAAUCCUAUGGCUUAACCAUAGAACUGCAUUUGAAACUGUUAUUCUAGAGUAUGGGAGAGGUAGGUGGAAUUCUUGGUGUAGGGGUCCAAUCCGUAGAGAUCAUGAGGAAUACUCAUUGCGAAGGCGACCUGCUAGAACAUAACUGACGCUGAUGCUCGAACGCGUGGGGAGCAAACAGGAUUAGAUACCCGGGUAGUC